Molecule: ribosomal RNA, 1079 nt
Filed under: uncultured bacterium
Lineage: Bacteria
Description: bacterial SSU rRNA
Rfam family: Bacterial small subunit ribosomal RNA
Source: RNAcentral
AGAGUUUGAUCAUGGCUCAGAAUGAACGCUGGCGGCGUGCCUAACACAUGCAAGUCGCACGAGAACGUUUCAGCUUGCUGGAACUAGUAAAGCGGCGCACGGGUGAGUAACGCGUGGGUAAUCUACCUCCGAAUUGGGGAUAACAUUGCGAAAGCGAUGCUAAUACCGAAUGACAUCUCAAUUACCUAAGUGUUUGAGAUUAAAGGUGGCCUCUCCUUGGAAGCUUCUGUUUGGAGAUGAGCCCGCGUACCAUUAGCUUGUUGGUAGGGUAAUGGCCUACCAAGGCAACGAUGGUUAGCUGGUCUGAGAGGAUGAUCAGCCACACUGGAACUGACACACGGUCCAGACUCCUACGGGAGGCAGCAGUGAGGAAUUUUGCGCAAUGGGGGAAACCCUGACGCAGCAACGCCGCGUGAGUGAUGAAGGCUUUCGGGUCGUAAAGCUCUGUCAAGUGGGAAGAACCUGCCUUUUGCUAAUAUCAAUUGGCACUGACGGUACCACUGAAGGAAGCACCGGCUAACUCCGUGCCAGCAGCCGCGGUAAUACGGGGGGUGCAAGCGUUAUUCGGAAUCACUGGGCGUAAAGAGCGCGUAGGCGGUUUCUUAAGUCAGAUGUGAAAGCCCGGGGCUCAACCCCGGAAGUGCAUUUGAAACUAAGGAACUUGAGUAUGGGAGAGGGAAGUGGAAUUCCUGGUGUAGCGGUGAAAUGCGUAGAUAUCAGGAGGAACACCGGUGGCGAAGGCGACUUCCUGGACCAAUACUGACGCUGAGGCGCGAAGGCGUGGGGAGCAAACAGGAUUAGAUACCCUGGUAGUCCACGCAGUAAACGUUGAACACUAGGUGUAGCGGGUAUUGACCCCUGCUGGGCCGCAGCUAACGCAUUAAGUGUUCCGCCUGGGGAGUACGGCCGCAAGGCUAAAACUCAAAGGAAUUGACGGGGGCCCGCACAAGCGGUGGAGCAUGUGGUUUAAUUCGACGCAACGCGAAGAACCUUACCUGGGUUUGACAUCCCGGGAAUUCUGCGGAAACACAGAAGUGCCCUUCGGGGAGCCCGGUGACAGGUGCUGCAUGGCUGUCGUC